Molecule: ribosomal RNA, 407 nt
Filed under: uncultured bacterium
Lineage: Bacteria
Description: partial 16S ribosomal RNA
Rfam family: Bacterial small subunit ribosomal RNA
Source: RNAcentral
AUUGAACGCUGGCGGCAGGCCUAACACAUGCAAGUCGAGCGGAGCGGCGGACGGGUGCGUAAUGCCUAGGACUCUGCCUGGUCGUGGGGGAUAACGUCAGGAAACGGGCGCUAAUACCGCUUACUAUCAGCUGAGCCUAGGUCGGAUUAGCUAGUUGGUGGGGUAAAGGACUACCAAGGCGACGAUCCGUAACUGGUCUGAGAGGAUGAGCAGUCACACUGGAACUGAGACACGGUCCAGACUCCUACGGGAGGCAGCAGUGGGGAAUAUUGGACAAUGGGCGAAAGCCUGAUCCAGCCAUGCCGCGUGUGUGAAGAAGGUCUUCGGAUUGUAAAGCACUUUAAGGUGGGAGGCGUUACCAGCAGAAGAAGCACCGGCUAACUUCGUGCCAGCCGCCGCGGUAAUAC